This 79-nucleotide transfer RNA is filed under the name Escherichia coli HS. Its description in RNAcentral is "tRNA-Val". It matches the Rfam family "tRNA". Rfam says of the family: Transfer RNA (tRNA) molecules are approximately 80 nucleotides in length. The record is from RNAcentral. Lineage: Bacteria; Pseudomonadati; Pseudomonadota; Gammaproteobacteria; Enterobacterales; Enterobacteriaceae.
UGCGUCCGUAGCUCAGUUGGUUAGAGCACCACCUUGACAUGGUGGGGGUCGGUGGUUCGAGCCCACUCGGACGCACCAG